GACGAACCGUCCAAACGUUAUUCGGAAUCACUGGGCUUACAGAGUUCGUAGGCGGUCUGGAAAGUUGGGUGUGAAAUCCCUCGGCUCAACCGAGGAACUGCGCUCAAAACUACCCGACUCGAGGGGGAUAGAGGAAAGCGGAACUGAUGGUGGAGCGGUGAAAUGCGUUGAUAUCAUCAGGAACACCGGUGGCGAAGGCGGCUUUCUGGGUCUUACCUGACGCUGAGGAACGAAAGCUAGGGGAGCGAACGGG
Molecule: ribosomal RNA, 253 nt
Filed under: uncultured bacterium
Lineage: Bacteria
Description: partial 16S ribosomal RNA
Rfam family: Bacterial small subunit ribosomal RNA
Source: RNAcentral